Molecule: non-coding RNA, 28 nt
Filed under: Mus musculus (house mouse)
Lineage: Eukaryota; Metazoa; Chordata; Mammalia; Rodentia; Muridae
Source: RNAcentral
UAGUGUGACACGUGUUGAUAUUUCUGAC